CGGCAGGCCUAACACAUGCAAGUCGAACGGUAACAGGAAGAAGCUUGCUCUUGCUGACGAGUGGCGGACGGGUGAGUAAUGUCUGGGAAACUGCCUGAUGAGGGGGAUAACUACUGGAAACGGUAGCUAAUACCGCAUAACGUCGCAAGACCAAAGAGGGGGACCUUCGGGCCUCUUGCCAUCGGAUGUGCCCAGAUGGGAUUAGCUUGUUGGUGGGGUAACGGCUCACCAAGGCGACGAUCCCUAGCUGGUCUGAGAGGAUGACCAGCCACACUGGAACUGAGACACGGCCCAGACUCCUACGGGAGGCAGCAGUGGGGAAUAUUGCACAAUGGGCGCAAGCCUGAUGCAGCCAUGCCGCGUGUAUGAAGAAGGCCUUCGGGUUGUAAAGUACUUUCAGCGGGGAGGAAGGGAGUAAAGUUAAUACCUUUGCUCAUUGACGUUACCCGCAGAAGAAGCACCGGCUAACUCCGUGCCAGCAGCUGC
RNAcentral lists this ribosomal RNA (486 nucleotides) under uncultured bacterium. Its description in RNAcentral is "bacterial SSU rRNA". It matches the Rfam family "Bacterial small subunit ribosomal RNA", at positions 40 to 518 of the family's 1533-position model. The record is from RNAcentral.